AGAAUCAACGCUGGCGGCGUGCCUAACACAUGCAAGUCGAACGAGAAAGUGGAGCAAUCCAUGAGUAAAGUGGCGCACGGGUGAGUAACACGUGACUAACCUACCCUUGAGUGGGGGAUAACCUAGAGAAAUCUGGGCUAAUACCGCAUAAUACCUUCGGGUCAAAGGAGCAAUUCGCUUAAGGAGGGGGUCGCGGCCGAUUAGUUAGUUGGCGGGGUAAUGGCCCACCAAGACUAUGAUCGGUAUCCGGCCUGAGAGGGCGCACGGACACACUGGAACUGAAACACGGUCCAGACUCCUACGGGAGGCAGCAGUGGGGAAUUUGCGCAAUGGGGGAAACCCUGACGCAGCAACGCCGCGUGGAGGAUGAAGUCCCUUGGGACGUAAACUCCUUUCGAUCGGGACGAUAAUGACGGUACCGAGAGAAGAGCCCGGCUAACUUCGCGCCAGCAGCCGC
This 457-nucleotide ribosomal RNA is filed under the name uncultured bacterium. Its description in RNAcentral is "SSU rRNA". It matches the Rfam family "Bacterial small subunit ribosomal RNA", at positions 26 to 518 of the family's 1533-position model. The record is from RNAcentral.